GGGGGAAGAUUACACACUCGUUUUCGCACGUGUGGAACUGUCUCAGCCGUUUGAUUCUCCAGCCCACUUGCCAGAUCUGUCUCCAGAUCACUACACGUGUCUUUCUUCACACGCAUCUAGAUGAAGCAAAGAUCUUGAAUACGGUGAUGCAUGUUAGAGAAAGAAGUUGAUGGGGUGAGAGCAGGUGUUCAACUAGCAGGAAUAAAUGCUGUGGUGAUUGGAAGAAGCAGCAUCGUCGGUCUGCCAAUUUCUUUAUUACUGCAGGUAUUGUUGUAGUUACUGCGACAGGGUUCUUAUGCUUGAGCAUUUCGGUUUUAAUUUAACUUCGCAGUUAUGUCUUUGCUGACAUUUCAUGGGAAGAGGUUAUGACGCUACAGUAAGCACGGUGCAUUCUUUUUCAAAGGAUCCAGAGCACAUUGUCAGAGAAGCUGAUAUUGUGGGUGUACCUAAUCUAGUUGGUGGAAGUUGGCUGAAGCCUGGAGCAGUUGUCAUUGAUGUAGGAACAUGUCAUGUUGAGCUAAAUGUAAUGCUUCUAAACUGAUCAAAAGUCUUAACUUUCCUAGUGGAUAAAAACUCAUACAGAGAACAAACUUGAGUUUGUUUUUGUUGUUUCUGGUUUGACAAUUGAAGCAUGUAAGUGAUAUAUCAUUUUGCAAAUAAAAAUGAUAUGGCAGGAUAGUAACUGUAAGCAUGGUUACCGUCUUGUUUGAUAUGUAUGUUACGAGGAAGCGUUAGGUGUUGCCUCAGGGAUCACUCCUGUGCCUGGAGGAGUCGGACCCAUGACGAUUGACAAAGCUACUAUGCAAUACUUUGGAGGCUGCCAAGCAGAUAUCCAUAUCUCCGUCUUAUAACUAACAUUUUUUGUUUAAACAAGAGAUAGGAGAUUCCAUGUAUGAUGAAAAAUUCACAAUUCCUUUUAAUUUGAAUGAUCAUGUUGAUGCU
Raphanus sativus (radish) is the source of this 942-nucleotide long non-coding RNA. RefSeq lists it as uncharacterized. The record is from RefSeq and is a predicted model, not a curated record. NCBI's taxonomy places the organism in Eukaryota, Viridiplantae, Streptophyta, Magnoliopsida, Brassicales, Brassicaceae. The transcript is spliced from 2 exons.